Long non-coding RNA from Triticum aestivum (bread wheat), 305 nucleotides. RefSeq lists it as uncharacterized. The transcript is spliced from 3 exons. The record is from RefSeq and is a predicted model, not a curated record. NCBI's taxonomy places the organism in Eukaryota, Viridiplantae, Streptophyta, Magnoliopsida, Poales, Poaceae.
GUACGGGCAACCAACUUCAACUAGCUAAUAUGACUAAUCAAGAGCCUUCAUGCAGCACGUGGCAUCAGACAGCACCCAUGUACCUGCCAUCGACGUCAUACACAGGUUAUUACGGUGGUGGUAACCCGGCAAACGUCUCGUGGCAAGCUUCACAGAUUGCAGAUAGAGCACGUCAAUUUGGUGUCACAGACCACACAAAAUGGGCACAUGCAGCACAACAAGGUAAGGAAAAAAUUGAACCACAAAAGAGCACUACAUUUGUUUUUGUGGCAAAAAAUAGCACGUGACGAAGAAGAAGAUUUGUA